CGGAAGUAUAAAACACUGGCCUCCCGGAGCUAAGCUAAACUGUUCACUCACUGCGAUGAUGAGCACACCCACUGACGUGAGCGGCUUGCUCUGUGACUGUGUUAUUAUGGGCCUGGAGGAGAACCCCGACAAGGAAAAGCAGCAGAAUCCAAAUCCCCCAGAGACCUCUUGAAUGCAUUUACUCUACACACUGUGGCACUGGAAACCUCUUGAGUACCAUUCAGGAGUUCAGGCAUGCUCCUCUGACUGUGUUCCUUCUGAAAUAAAGUUGGCAAGAGGCUGGGAACAUCGUGGUACCCAUAGCCAGUGUCAUUUCUUCAAACAGGUAUGUUCAGCAGCUGCCUACUUAGGAAGACAAGAGGGCACUGCAAGAUCCAACCAGAAUAAGAGGAUGUCCUCCACAGCCCCCUCUCCACCUUAUCAGCUACAAUGCAAUCUAUUGAAGCCGUUGUUUUCUGGGUCAGAAAAAAAAAUUAAUGGUAUAUUUUCUCCAAAUGUCACUAUCAUACUGUGAAUAGGCAAAACCUAUUAUCCCCAACCUUUUCCUUUAGCAUAUUAAUAAUGGCUCAUAUGUUAAACAUCUUACUAAAAAUCAUAGAUACAUAUGGCUGUAUCUCCUUGACUUAGUAGUGUGUAGUGGUAGCUCAGCAAACCAAAUAUAAAUAAUAUUGCCAUCAUUAAUCACAAAUUGGUUCAUUAUCAUCAUCUAUGUAAACAGAGUGACCCUGUUGAUGAAGAAGUGAAGUAUAGAAUUCCAUCUCUUCAAAGAGGGAUCAAAUGUGGCUAAAAGAUAUUCGAUAAGACCUCUAGGUGGAUGACUUUGGAAGCAAGAAGGCAGCACACAACACUGAUGGCAAUCCUAAAAGCCAGAGAGGUUCAUUGCAGGAUGUGUGGAAAAGCCAAGGAAAACGAGGGGCUCCAAAGAAGAGCAAUCCCUUGCAGGUAGGGAGAUACAAAGUUAAUGGGAAAGAGGACAGUAUGGAAAAGCAAGGAGGUCCCACGAGUGACCUAUUUUCCCAAAUUUCCCUGUAUUGUGUCUCCAGAUAUCAAAUGAUGUCAAGAAUGCACGGUGUCCAUAAAGAAAAGAUAAUAUCCACAGAUUCUAAGUGGUGAGCGAUUGUGAGUCAAUUAAGUGAGAUAGAGGCCGAAAGAUUAUAUACACUACAAUCAACUUCAACAGGAACAAUUAUUUAUCCUAAACUUCACACUACUAAAAAAAAAUCUUAUGCCAGGGCACAUUGCUACAUAACUAAAAUACUCAAUCGAUGACUUGUAUCAUAUCUGAAAAGUGGAAUCACACAUCAUGGGAGAGCAAACAAAUUUUUGAGAUCUUGGAAACAAUUUCAUUCCUCUGGUUUAAAAUUUCUUUGUUGGCUAAAAUGACAUAAUGGGGCAUCCCUAUACUUCUACACUUUAUAUAAUUUUAUUAGAUUUGUAUGACACUACCGUAAUCAGCUCUGGCUACAUUUAUAAUAAUUCAUUUCUGGGCAGCCCGGGUGGCCCAGUGGUAUAGC
RNAcentral lists this long non-coding RNA (1514 nucleotides) under Vulpes vulpes (red fox). Its description in RNAcentral is "lncRNA (ENSVVUG00000012326.1)". The record is from RNAcentral. Lineage: Eukaryota; Metazoa; Chordata; Mammalia; Carnivora; Canidae.